Regulatory RNA element from Capnocytophaga cynodegmi, 55 nucleotides. It matches the Rfam family "S15-Flavobacteria ribosomal protein leader". Lineage: Bacteria; Pseudomonadati; Bacteroidota; Flavobacteriia; Flavobacteriales; Flavobacteriaceae. The record is from Rfam.
UACAUUUGCAACUUCAAAAACUAGUACAUAAUAAUCAUUAAAUAAUAUUGGAAUG